UCGAACCUGGGUCAUUUCAGUCCGACGCUCUAGCCACUGAACCAAACCGGUUUUGGCCCUAUUGCCUUCUUUGUUUUUUGUUAAGAUUGCUUGGUACUCUUCAUUAUAUCUUUUCCCUACCUCAUUCUGUCUUGAAAUUUAUGUGUACCAUGGUUCUGCCAGUUUGUGGUGUUUCUCCAGACUGGGUGUUGCUUUAGUACCUGGGAGAUAAUUUGUAUUGGAAGUCCAAGAAAAACAUAGACAUUUGUUACUUUAAACCCAAUGGUUUUAAUGGUGCAAUUCCUUUUUUUCUUUCUCUGCUAAGAAUUUUGCAGUUUUCUCCAAAGGGAGUGAGAGGGGAAGGUGGGAAUUUAGAUUUAAUGUUGAAGUAUGGGUUGAUAAAAGAGGUGCAUCUUGUAUCAUCUUUUAGAAAAUCUGGUUUUGUCACAUACACAAAAGUUUCAUGUGCGGUGAGCUUACUUUGUCACAGAGUAUAUGCUUAGCUCUUGAUGUGGUUGUUUCGACAACACAGAAUAAUACAUUGUUGCAUUCUAGGAUAGAAACCAUGGAAGUCCAAGAACCUUCUGCUGUACAGUCCACAGAUUCUUAAAAUGACAGCCUAUCAAAGACAGUAUUUAGAGCCAGAAAGGAGCCUGAUUGUAUUGUUGGGCUAUCUCUCAGACACCAUAAGAGGCCUGCUAUUAGUUGUUCCCAGCAAUAGCAUUCUUGGUAAAUUAUUGUCUCUGUGUCAGUGCUUCUAUUGUCAGCUCACUGCUGCUUAUAAAUUUCCAUGGGCCCUAGCUGGUUUGGCUCAGUAGAAGGAGUGUCCACCCUUGGACUAAAAGGUCCCAGGUUCAAUUCUGGUCAAGGGCACAUAACCUCAGUUGCAGAGGCAACCAGUUGUUAUAUCUUUCUCAUAUUGAUUCUUCUCUCUCUCUCUGUCUCUCCCCCACUCCCUUUUACUAUCUCUAAAAAUCAAUGGAAAAAUAUCCUUUGGAGAGGAUUCACACAAAAAGAAAAAC
Long non-coding RNA from Pipistrellus kuhlii (Kuhl's pipistrelle), 1001 nucleotides. RefSeq lists it as uncharacterized. The record is from RefSeq and is a predicted model, not a curated record. The transcript has 2 exons. NCBI's taxonomy places the organism in Eukaryota, Metazoa, Chordata, Mammalia, Chiroptera, Vespertilionidae.